GAAGGAAGGAUUUACUCCCGAGUAAGCAUGGCUUGGAUCGGACUGCAAAAAUAUUCUUUAGCUAUGCUCUCUCUGUAUAUUUUAAUGCUAUUUCAUUAUUUUAUUUAUUAAAAAGGAGCGGAGCCCAUGAGCCGAGAAGAAAAGAACAACACCCCGUCGGUGUUCUAAACAUUAAUCAGUGCUGUAAUUAACAAAUUGCGUCGCCUCGCGGGGAGCCCGCGCGUCUUUCAAUCGCGACCUCUUUCUUUCGUCUUGCCCAUCAAUCAGAAAGGAGUAAACUAUUGCCUCGCCGAUUACUCUCCUGCGAUCUUCUGCCCAGAUCCCCAAACCCAAAAGUGAAAGAUCGUUCCAAACUUUUUUUUUUUUUUUUUGGCAGCGCCCGGGAGAUGCUUGGUGGGGGGGGGGGGGAGAGAGGAGAGAGGGAGAAGCCGCCCGUGCGCAUGUGCGAAGGUGUCUAAGCUAAACUGACAAUGCUGCGAGAGAUAGCAAGCUUUGGGUUGAGAGAAAGAGCGUGUGAGUGAGAAAGAGAGAGAGAGAGAGAAGUGGGGGAGGAAAAAAGAGAGGGAAAAAGAAAGAGAGAGCGCGCGAAGCAAAAGCCCGUCCAUUGAUUUCCCUCCCCCCCGUCCCAGAUCACCCCCCAACACCAUCACAGCAACGUCCGCGGGACUUGGGCGGCAAUGCGAUCCAAAGCCAGAGCGAGGAAACUAGCCACAAUGAAAGGGAGUGGAAGGAAAGCUUCUCGGCUGAAAAGCAGAGCAGACCUACGGAUUUUCUUUACUGGCUGGGUUAACCCUCCUCUCUCAACCUUGGCUGAAGAAAGAAAAGAGGAAAAAAAGAGGAAAAUUCGCUCCGUGUUGCCCCAGAUUGAAACAUCUUUUGCUUUUCUAAACCACAGGGAGCUUUCCUGGAAAGCAAGGCUGUCUGUUCGCCCUUUGCUUUCCCUGAAGGCUCAGAAUGAUUUCUGGAUCGCACCGGCUUCCUCGGGAGUAAAUGGCCCUCACGGGGUGGAGUGGGGGGGGGCGAAGAAAAGCAACCGGCCUGAGACAAAAAGCAGAAAGAACCGCCCGUUUUCCAACCUUCCGGAGAAUGGAUGUGAAAGCGAACGAAGGGUUUGGGACCUGGGCUUGGCUGAGCGGUGGCAACGCUAGUGUGAUGCGGGGGGUGUCAUUAUGAAAAGAGGCCAAAGCCCCUGCUUUCCUUGGCCAUCGGAGGCUGAAACCCAAGCGGAGCGCGCACGGUUCGAUCCAUAUCGCCUCCUUUUCUUGUCAUCGUCACAAAACAUCAAGACCCGUUUAGCCGGGAGGUUUCGCUUAUUGCCCUCAUCUCCGUCAGCGCGGGGAUUUAACUACAGACUCAAACCACCCGCUUUUGCUCUCAGCCUUUAAGUACAACAUCCCCCCCCUCCCUCCCUCCCUCCCUCCCUCCCUCCCUGGGUGUCGCCUUCCCCCCUUGCUCGCCUUUAUUGCCUGCAAAGGCUUGUAACGCAGCGUGCUUGGGAAGACGUGAGAUGCUCCGUGGCGUCUUCCUUCUUUACCUCCCAUGUCUUGCGUCUCUCUUUGUGAAAGUUGCAACUGCUGGUUUGUUGGGGCAGAGACCUUGGAUUGCAGUGGCGGUGUGUUUCUGGGGGUGCGCUGGUGCUGCUACGGCUUAUGUGCUGUGGAUGGUGGCAGCCACUACAUAGACCUGCUGCUAUUUAGGAGCAAAUACAGAUUUAGCGCUGUUGUAAUGGGCGUGUAUGCACAUUUAAUGUGGAUCGGACUUGCUUUCUGCCACACUGUCCAAGGACACUGUGUUUUCAAGGAAAAGUGGUUCAGGAAAGGUAAAAGCAUCUGUUACCUAUACAGGCUUAAAAUUUGGGAGAGCUACUUUUGGCAUUGAGUUUCACAAAGAGGAAAAUUCCCCAAACUCUGCCCAGGAUCUUAUAUUAAAUUUUAGUCCAACAUAACUGCUUCUGUUCUCCAGUUGCCUUCACACAAUGCCUAGCGUAGUCACAUAAGCACAUAUGGAUGUGUGAAAUCCUUUGCUUUCAGCUGUUCUUGCGACGUGCCUGAGAAGGUGUUUUGAGCUUGUUGAAGAUUAAUGCAUCCUUGUUAGUGUGUUGGUUUAAUUGCUGAUAAAUUGUCUCAGAGUGUGUGGGUAGAAAACUGAGUAGCUAUUCCUAUAAAACCAGCUUUUGAUCUGGGACAGGUGAGGUCAGUCCACCUUCAAGCCUAUAGCUGCACUGAAUUGUGGAUAUGUAUCCCUUAUACAAGUCAGUCUGAGUUCUUGGAGAACAAGGCAAUAGAGUCAACAGUCCUACAGCCUACAAGGAGAAGAGCAGAAGCUCUAAAAUGAGAGAAAAUGAAACUUCUAGCGUGGAAAUAAGCUACAGUAGGGAACUCCAGACUUUCCUAGACAGACAGAAUGAUAUUUCAACAGGCAUUGCAGGCUGUUCUGGACCAUUUUGGGUGAUGAAGGGUAUGUCUGAGGGGAAAAAAUUAUUCAAAGGCUCAGUGUGGUGAAAAUAUUUCGAAGGAGGAAGCUCAACAGUUAUUAGGAUCUCAUGUUUACUGGUUCUACUCCAUUCCAGAUACAUACUCCUCUAAAAAGAGAAGGCCUUUUCUGUGAUGGCACCCUGAUUUGCAACACUUUUUCCAAGAAAGUCAAUCAUACCAAGCACUAGCUUGCUAGGCACUAGGUGCAGAUAUUUUCCUUUGCCCAGGCAUUUCAAAUAGCAGGUGAUUUGUUUGGAAUAUUUCAGGGUUCUGUUUUAAAAAGUUGGUUUAUAGUUGGAUUUUUUUUGCAGCAUUUUAUUAAGUUUAUUUGGGAGGCCUUUCACUGAAUUCAAAUGAUAGCUUCACAAUUUUAUACACUGCUCUGGACUCUAUGGGUACAAGGAUGUUAAGCAAUGUUUUACUAAAUAGAGCCAUCACAGGUGGUCAUCAAGGAGAGAUCACCUACCACUGGACUUCAGGAAAAGCUAAGAGAAAAUUUUCAAGUGAGGCCAGCGCUGAGAUGGAAGAAAGUAAAGUGGUCACAAAAAGGGAUUACAAAGAUCGGGGGAACAGUAGGAAUUAAUGCCUGUUCUUGGUGUAGACUGGGAAUUUAGAGAUGGGAAUGCUAUCAGGAUUUUUUCCUGCACUGUUGCAGGAUUAAUUUCAAUUGUCUGGGAUAGCCAUGAAACCAUCCAAUAUCUAUUAUGAUUUAACAAGGUUUGAGUGUUUAGAGUUUUUUGGUUUGUAAUCUUCAGUUAGUAGACUGGAGACACUUGGAGCCAUGGAGUGCUAAGAGAGCUUAUCAGCUGUUUAUUACAGAACAUCAAGGGCCAGUUUCAAUGAUGUUUUUAAAUGCACUCAGCAAAGUUUUGGUGAUUUACAUGCAUUUGAACCUGGUGUUGUAAGUGGUUCAAACUUUAUGUUAAGUUGCAAACUUGCCUGGAAAAAACAGCUUGUGUGAAUUCAGGAACAAUAUUAUAGUUGUAUUGGGAUGGGAAAGGCUACUGCCUUGCAGCAUGUCACACAUGGAUAAGUAAAAUGUUUCUUUGUAUUUUUAUAUCACUGAAGUCCCAAGAUGGUGAACAAAUAUACACAACCAAUCAAGUUCAUAAAUGAGCCCAUUUCCUGGUGUACAAGAGCUGGCUAAGGUACAUGGUUUCUGAACCAAUAACCAUAUGUGAUUUGAUACCGUGUUGUGAGUUUAGCAUGACUUACUUCUGUAUCUGAUCUUUUUAGGGAGUAGUCACAAUAUGGCCAUUGAGAUUGGUCCUGAAUUUCAGGAUAUCUCUGUGUACGUGUGUUUGCUUUUUGCAUCGUGGUAGUCCAAAGCGUAUGAAGGGCACCAGGUUGAGUGAGGAAGCCUGGUAUGUGGCAUAUGCUGUCUAGAAUACACAGCAGUUCAGAUAUCAGUUGUCUGUGAAUCAUUCUGGUUGGAGUCUGCUUUACAGUUGAGUGUGCUUUUCUCCCUAACUCUAAAUGCUGUGUUUCUCUUCUUAGUAAAGGGGAAUUGAACUUGGCUGUAAACAGCAGAUUCAUUGGCCUAGAUGGGAAUUAAAAUAGGGCCCAUAAUUUUUUUCUCUCUCUCUUUCUGUGUUUUGAAAAAUAAGUCUGAUCUGGAGCUGCUUGUAGCCUUGAACCUAUAAGGUGAUGCUGUAGCUUUUAGAAGCUUCAUGUUGCUAUAAGAUUCGCCCUGUCUGGCAAUUGGUUUCCUUGCCUCCCAUCUGCUCUGCCAGUAUCUUUGUAAAUAAACAUCUGUAUCCAAAAAUACCA
Molecule: long non-coding RNA, 4244 nt
Filed under: Salvator merianae (Argentine black and white tegu)
Lineage: Eukaryota; Metazoa; Chordata; Lepidosauria; Squamata; Teiidae
Description: lncRNA (ENSSMRG00000023670.1)
Source: RNAcentral